RNAcentral lists this ribosomal RNA (492 nucleotides) under uncultured bacterium. RNAcentral's name for it is "partial 16S ribosomal RNA". It matches the Rfam family "Bacterial small subunit ribosomal RNA", at positions 29 to 507 of the family's 1533-position model. The record is from RNAcentral.
AUUGAACGCUGGCGGCAUGCUUUACACAUGCAAGUCGAACGGUAACAGGCCUUCGGGUGCUGACGAGUGGCGAACGGGUGAGUAAUGCAUCGGAACGUACCCAGAGGUGGGGGAUAACACAGCGAAAGCUGUGCUAAUACCGCAUGUGAUCUGAGGAUGAAAGCGGGGGACCGAGCAGCAAUGUUUGGCCUCGCGCCUUUGGAGCGGCCGAUGUCGGAUUAGCUAGUUGGUGGGGUAAAGGCCUACCAAGGCGACGAUCCGUAGCUGGUCUGAGAGGACGACCAGCCACACUGGGACUGAGACACGGCCCAGACUCCUACGGGAGGCAGCAGUGGGGAAUUUUGGACAAUGGGCGCAAGCCUGAUCCAGCAAUGCCGCGUGCGGGAAGAAGGCCUUCGGGUUGUAAACCGCUUUUGGCAGGAACGAAACGGUGUCCGCUAAUACCGGGCGCUAAUGACGGUACCUGCAGAAUAAGCACCGGCUAACUACGUG